This 65-nucleotide transfer RNA is filed under the name Ornithorhynchus anatinus (platypus). It matches the Rfam family "tRNA". From Rfam's summary of the family: Transfer RNA (tRNA) molecules are approximately 80 nucleotides in length. Lineage: Eukaryota; Metazoa; Chordata; Mammalia; Monotremata; Ornithorhynchidae. The record is from Rfam by way of RNAcentral.
GGCAUAGUGGCUACAGCAUGGGGCUGGGAGUCCAAAGGACAUGGGUUCUAAUCCCAGCUCUGCCA